RNAcentral lists this small nuclear RNA (282 nucleotides) under Chinchilla lanigera (long-tailed chinchilla). RNAcentral's name for it is "7SK RNA (ENSCLAG00000022198.1)". It matches the Rfam family "7SK RNA". Rfam says of the family: 7SK was discovered as an abundant small nuclear RNA in the mid-70s but a possible function has only recently been suggested. Two independent studies have found that 7SK RNA binds the CDK9/cyclin T complex (known as elongation factor P-TEFb). The record is from Rfam by way of RNAcentral. Lineage: Eukaryota; Metazoa; Chordata; Mammalia; Rodentia; Chinchillidae.
GGAUAUGAGGACGAUCUGGCUGCAACAUCUGUCACCACAUUGAUGGGAAGGGUUGAUUCAGCUGAUCUGACUGGCUAGGCAGGGGUCUCCUUCCUCCCUCACUGCAUCAUGUGCAUCCCUCAAUCAAAGAGGACCACCACCCCCAAUAAAGGAGGACCAUUUUCUUGGUCAAGGAUAUAUGAAUAGCCACGCUCCCCAGCUAGAACCUCCAAACAAGCUCUCCGUAGCAACAUACACAUAUGUACAUGAUCUCAGAGUUUCUGCUGCAGAAAACCUCCAGAU